UGAAUUUUUGUUUUGAAUAAUUUUGCAAAUAUUUUCGAAGUCGUGUCCGUUAAAAUCAACAAUUUUUUACAUGAAUUAUAUUUCAUUCCAUACUUUAAAUGCCAGGACGCUUUCAAUUAAUGUCUAGUCUACCCAUUUGCUAUAUUUUCUCGUUUAUUUUACUAAUUUGUGACCAAUUAAUAAGCAUGUUUUUGUUUUAGAAAUUGAUAUUCAAAUUCCCCGCCAUAUUUCAUAAUUUGGUGUAUGCGCAGACGUUUUUCCGCGGUGUUAUCGAAACGUAGCGAUUUCUUUGUUUCCUGAGCGGUAGUGUGGAACUAACGACUUCGACACAAAAGAAAAUGUUACGUUACGGUUGAAGUGGAAAACAGGUUUGGGUUUCGUUUCGUAAAAUCUUAAUAUUUUAGUAACUUCCUCAAGACGCUUGUUGAACGUGGAUGAGGGUUGAUGAGUAAAUGCAAACGAGAGGUUGCACGAGAGUUUUCUCAGGUCAAAAGGUAACACGAGUUGCAUGAGAGUUGAUAAGAGUGGACUGGACUUUACCACGCGUAUAGCCAAAAACUCUUGUCAACUCUCAACAUAUUUGAAGCAGCUCAAAGUUGAUGAGAGUGCAUGAGAAUUAGCCAUUCCGAAGUUGAUGAGAGGACUGGGGACGAGUGUUAAAAAGUGCCCAAAUUAAGAAAUGAAUCAAAUCACUAAAUAGACCACCUCAAAAUUAGUAAGUAUACAAAGUUUGAAGAUGUUUACAUGAAUACCCUUCGAAUAAUAAGCUUUCGAAAAUCGCGAUAUUUACUAUGAAAUGUACUGCAAUUUUUGUUAAUCAGUAAUUUCACAAUUUUCGAAUGCUUAUUAUUCGAAGGGUAUUCAUGUAAACGUUUUCAAACUUCGUAUACUUACUAAUUUUGAGGUGGUCUUUUUAGUGACCCCGUUCAUUUUUUAAUUUGGGCACUUUUUAACACUCGUCCCCAGUCCACUCAUCAACUUCGGUAUGGCUAAAUGUCGGUCAAACGCGAGCAGGAGUUGCAACUCUUAUCAACUCUCAUCGUCGUUUGACCAGGUGGCUUGUAGUGAGCCCUCCCCAAUCACUAGUACCAAAAAUCUUAUAAACAGCCUCUGACUGUGCUUUGUGGUGAAGCAUGCUAACUGUACAUAUAUAUACUAGAUGGUUUAAUAAAUAAUAUUGCACUAGGAGGUAUUGUAGUUAUUUCAUAGUAAACGUGUAGGUAUAGACAACGUAGUUAAGUGUAUUUUUGUUAAUAUAGUAUUAGCCAUUAGAAUGUAAGAAAUAUAUUAAAAGUUCAUUCAAAAUAUUUGUAUUCUGAUUUUACCGUAAAUCGUGUUUGCUAUAGGUAUACUGUACUCGUACCCUCGAGUUUUGGGCUACAUUUACACUAUAACGGAUAGGUUUCCGUGGCGGCGCGAAAAAGCACCUAUACCCGAUACAGAAUGUACAACUUUCAGAAGCUGAGCGAAACAAAAUCUCUCCGUUGCAAUAAUUCCUCUGAAAAAAGCAUUACUAAAAUGUACGGAUAGGUUGUUUUUCACGUCGCUAGGGAAAGCUAUUCGGCGGUACAGUGUGAACGUAGCCUUAAAUAUUUGAGUUGGCUGUGGUCUCGGCUGUGGUCGCAGAACCGAAGAUAUUAUAUUGUGCUAUUCCAACCUACACGUGAUUAUUUUUUUAGCCUUCUAGGACUUUUCUGGUGCGCUACUUCCUCGCUAAAGUUGCAGCACGUCCCUUCGCCAGCGCUUGCUUGCUUGUGACAAAUCAUGAAGCUCAACUUUUGACUCUGGAUAUUGUUAUUUUAAAAUCAAUCUUACAGUACUUUCUAAUAACUUCGUUACCUUAAUCAGAUUGCUAUGCUCCAGCUUGUGAUCAUGUGCGUUUCUUCGGGGGUGAUGGACUUGUUGUGACAACCUUUUAUUUCCAAAGCAUGAUUCAUCCAUUACUUUGUCUUUGUCGCAUUAUCUAUCCUUUGAGGUGGAAUCAGUUGGUAUAGACACCUGA
Paramuricea clavata is the source of this 2002-nucleotide non-coding RNA. The record is from the annotation of a GenBank genome assembly. NCBI's taxonomy places the organism in Eukaryota, Metazoa, Cnidaria, Anthozoa, Malacalcyonacea, Plexauridae.